UGCCAGCCGCCGCGGUAAGACGAAGGGCCCGAGCGUUGCGCGGAAUCAUUGGGCUUAAAGGGUGGCGCAGGCGGACCCGCCAGUGUCUUGUGAAAUCCCACUGCUCAACGGUGGAAUUGCUUGGCAUACUGCGGGUCUUGAGGUCGGUAGGGGCUGCCGGAACGAUAGGUGGAGCGGUGAAAUGCGUAGAUAUCUAUCGGAACGCCCAAGGCGAAGGCAGGCAGCUGGGCCGAUUCUGACGCUCAGGCACGAAAGCGUGGGGGCGAAGAGGAUUAGAUA
Molecule: ribosomal RNA, 279 nt
Filed under: uncultured bacterium
Lineage: Bacteria
Description: partial 16S ribosomal RNA
Rfam family: Bacterial small subunit ribosomal RNA
Source: RNAcentral